Molecule: small nucleolar RNA, 182 nt
Organism: Pteronotus mesoamericanus
Lineage: Eukaryota; Metazoa; Chordata; Mammalia; Chiroptera; Mormoopidae
Product: small nucleolar RNA SNORA23
Exons: 1
Source: RefSeq, a predicted model, not a curated record
AUUGAAAGAUGCACCUAAGAAUAUUUCCUAAAGUACAGUGUUAAGAUAUAAAGUUGCUGUAGUGCAUUCAGAUCUUAUCAUCCACACUAAUACCAUGCAGCCAAAGAGUAAGUUGUAAUAGUCUAGUGUUGUCUCAUCAGGCAUAAUUUACCACUGGCCAACCUCCAAAUUCCCACACAGGA